GAGAAAGCAAGGUAGGGCGCACGGUGGAUGCCUAGGCAUACAGAGGCGAAGAAGGACGCGGUAAGCUGCGAAAAGCUGUGGGUAGGCGCAAACGGCCUUUGAUCCACAGGUGUCCGAAUGGGGAAACCCUUUAAGUCCGCAAGGACGGCGAACCCCGUGAACUGAAACAUCUAAGUAGCGGGAGGAAAAUAGAACAAUAGUUAUUCCCCAAGUAGCGGCGAGCGAACGGGGAACAGCCCAAACCAGGGGAGUCUCGGCUUCCCUGGGGUUGUAGGGCGGGCAUAAUGGAUCCAUGAACGAGACCGGAGGACCGUUGGAAAGCGGCGCCAAAGAGGGUGACAGCCCCGUACGGGAAUCGAGAGUGGCCAGGCCCUGUCCCUGAGUACCGCGGGACCGGAGAAAUCCUGCGGGAAUCCGCCAGCACCAUCUGGCAAGGCUAAAUACUACUGUAUGACCGAUAGUGUACCAGUACCGUGAGGGAAAGGUGAAAAGCACCCUGGACAAGGGAGUGAAAUAGACCCUGAAACCGUGCGCCUGCAAUCAAUCGGAGCCACUUCGGUGGUGACGGUGUGCCUUUUGCAUAAUGAGCCUACGAGUUGCUCCUCGGCGGCAAGGUUAAGUCCUUAAGGGACGCAACCGAAGCGAAAGCGAGUCUUCACAGGGCGUGAAGUCGCCGGGGGCAGACGCGAAACCUUGUGAUCUACCCAUGAGCAGGAUGAAGGUUCGGUAAAACGGACUGGAGGUCCGAACGAGUAAACGUUGAAAAGUUUUUCGAUGACUUGUGGGUAGGGGUGAAAGGCCAAUCAAACUGGGAGAUAGCUCGUACUCCCCGAAAUGUCUUUAGGGACAGCCUUGUGUAUGAGUGUCACGGAGGUAGAGCUACCGAUAGGGCUAGGGGGCCUCACCGCCUACCAAACUCUGACGAACUCCGAAUGCCGUGACAUGCUCCACAGGAGUGAGGGCGGGGGUGCUAAGGUCACCGCCCGAGAGGGAAAGAACCCAGACCACCGGCUAAGGCCCCAAAGUCUGCGCUAAGUUGAGCUAACGAGGUCCGACUGCAGAGACAGCUAGGAUGUUGGCUUGGAAGCAGCCAUUCAUUUAAAGAGUGCGUAACAGCUCACUAGUCGAGCGGUCGGGCAUGGAUAAUGAUCGGGCAUCAAGCGCAGCGCCGAAGCCGUGGAUUGUACAGCGAUGUACACUGGUAGGGGAGCAUUCUCGUCGCCGGGAAGCUGUGAUGCGAGUCAUGGUGGAGCGUCGAGAAAAGCAAAUGUAGGCAUGAGUAACGAUAAUCAGGGUGGGAAACCCUGACGCCGUAAGACCAAGGUUUCCUGAUCAACGCUAAUCGGAUCAGGGUUAGUCUGGACCUAAGGAUAAGCCGAAGGCGAUUCCGAUGGACAACGGGUUAAUAUUCCCGUACUGUUUGCAUUGCGAUGGAGGGACGCAGGAGUGACACUGCCGCCACGAGACGGAAUUCGUGGUUAAAGGGUGUAGGGAAACCGAAGCCCGACAGUACCGCAAGGCCCCGGCCGAGCGGAUAGUGCAGGUAAUCAAGCUGCCUAGAAAAGCUCCUAAGCUUCAGAUGCAAAUACCAGUACCGUAAACCGACACAGGUGGUCGAGGAGAGUAUCCUAAGGCGCUCGAGUGAUUCACAGCUAAGGAACUCGGCAAAUUCGUCCUGUAACUUCGGGAGAAGGGACGCCUACCCUCGCGAGAGGGAGGCCGCAGUGAAGAGGCCCAGGCGACUGUUUAGCAAAAACACAUGGCUUUGCGAAUUCGAAAGACGACGUAUAAGGCCUGACACCUGCCCGGUGCUGGAAGGUUAAGAGGGGGGGUCAUCCGCAAGGAGAAGCUCUGAAUCGAAGCCCCAGUAAACGGCGGCCGUAACUAUAACGGUCCUAAGGUAGCGAAAUUCCUUGUCGGGUAAGUUCCGACCUGCACGAAUGGUGUAACGAUCUGGGCACUGUCUCGGCUGUGAGCUCGGUGAAAUUGUACUGCCGGUGAAGAUGCCGGCUACCCGCAAUGGGACGAAAAGACCCCGUGAACCUUCACUACAGCUUUGCAUUGACAACGGGCCAGGGAUGUGUAGGAUAGGUGGGAGGCUGCGAACCGGUAUCGCCAGGUAUCGGGGAGCCAGCGGUGAAAUACCACCCUUCCCUUGCUUGUUGCCUAACCCCGCGAGGGAGACAGUGCAUGGCGGGUAGUUUGACUGGGGUGGUCGCCUCCAAAAGGGUAACGGAGGCUUCCAAAGGUCUGCUCAGCACGCUUGGUAACCGUGCGUAGAGUGCAAUAGCAUAAGCAGGCUUGACUGAGAGACUUACAAGUCGCACAGGUAGGAAACUAGGGUAUAGUGAUCCGGCGGUACCGCGUGGAAGGGCCGUCGCUCAAAGGAUAAAAGGUACUCCGGGGAUAACAGGCUGAUCUCCCCCAAGAGCUCAUAUCGACGGGGAGGUUUGGCACCUCGAUGUCGGCUCGUCACAUCCUGGGGCUGGAGAAGGUCCCAAGGGUUCGGCUGUUCGCCGAUUAAAGUGGCACGCGAGCUGGGUUCAGAACGUCGCGAGACAGUUCGGUCUCUAUCUAUUGCGGGCGUUAGACGUUUGAGAGGGGCUGGCCUUAGUACGAGAGGACCGGGUCGGACGAACCUCUGGUGCACCUGUUGUGACGCCAGUUGCAGCGCAGGGUAGCUAUGUUCGGAAGAGAUAAGCACUGAAAGCAUCUAAGUGCGAAACUCGCCUCAAGAUGAGACGUCUUUAUAAGGGUCCUGGGAGACGACCAGGUUGAUAGGGUGUAGGUGUAAGCGUGGAGACAUGCUCAGCCAAGCACUACUAAUUACCCGUAGCUUUCCCCC
RNAcentral lists this ribosomal RNA (2845 nucleotides) under Bacteroidota bacterium. RNAcentral's name for it is "Bacteroidetes bacterium (activated sludge metagenome) 23S ribosomal RNA". It matches the Rfam family "Bacterial large subunit ribosomal RNA". The record is from RNAcentral. Lineage: Bacteria; Pseudomonadati; Bacteroidota.